UACGUAGGGUGCAAGCGUUAAUCGGAAUUACUGGGCGUAAAGCGUGCGCAGGCGGUUAUGUAAGACAGGUGUGAAAUCCCCGGGCUUAACCUGGGAACUGCAUUUGUGACUGCAUCGCUGGAGUGCGGCAGAGGGGGAUGGAAUUCCGCGUGUAGCAGGUGAAAUGCGUAGAGUAUGCGGAGGAACACCGAUGGCGAAGGCAAUCCCCUGGGCCUGCACUGACGCUCAUGCACGAAAGCGUGGGGAGCAAACAGG
This 255-nucleotide ribosomal RNA is filed under the name uncultured bacterium. Its description in RNAcentral is "partial 16S ribosomal RNA". It matches the Rfam family "Bacterial small subunit ribosomal RNA", at positions 524 to 776 of the family's 1533-position model. The record is from RNAcentral.